Oncorhynchus tshawytscha (Chinook salmon) is the source of this 1331-nucleotide long non-coding RNA. NCBI's taxonomy places the organism in Eukaryota, Metazoa, Chordata, Actinopteri, Salmoniformes, Salmonidae. The record is from Ensembl.
GAACAUUUCAACAGACGUCGUCUUGAUCUUUCUCCUCUGGAAAGGCCAUGUGGCAGGUGUAGCACUUCUAUCAUCCUUUAAAAACAAGAAAUGGACAGUGACUGGGGGAUACCUAGUCAUUUUUUUGUCAAACCUUCAAAUAGGUUUAGGUGUUCAGACGUUCCUGAGUACUGGACAGACCAUAUUUUCCAGAAUACAUUGACAAGGAAUGUUGUCCAGGGCCUCCACUGCCACCCUCUUGUUGCCCCUGACGCUGCUCUCCUCCUGGUCGUACAUGGGACACAUGUAGGCUGUUCGCCUCAGGGCGUAGAUGUCCACCUCGUCCUCGUCGUCCCACGGCUGGCGUUGGCACUGACCAGGGACACGUUGCCCUGGCCCAGGGAGGGCAGCAGUUUGGGCCGGGGGGCCACCGGGGGUUUGGGGACCUUUGGAGUAGGAGCAUCCCUCUGGGCUCUCCUGGCCAGCAGGGGUCCUGUCUGGACGAAGGCCUCAGGCCUGAUGAUGUCCCUGGGUGGGCUGCUGCUCCCUCUGGCAGCCUCCUCUGGCUGGGCAGCUUUCGGCAUGGAGAGAACAAACACAUUGUUGCUGAAGCUGCAUGACUCUGAAAGGGCCGGCUCCUCCAGGGUCAGAGGGCAGGUAGGACGGGACUCAGGCUGGACUACAUCCACAGUGCUGGUAGUGAUGCUCACAGGACUGGUAGGUUGGGACUCGAGCAUAAUGGAACACACAGGAUUACUGGGCUUAACUUUUCUCCUAGUGGUGCUCCGAGGGUUGCUAGGCCUUCCCUCAGGUCUGGAAGGCUGAACAUCAGGCUGGACCAGGCUGACUGGUCUAACAGGCCGUCUAGUGGGGCCCAGAGGGUUGCUAGGCCUCCCCUCAGGUCUGGAAGGCUGUACAUCAGGCUGGACCAGGCCCACUGGUCUAACAGGCCGUCUGGGUUGCCGAGGGUUGCUAGGCCUCCCCUCAGGUCUGGAAGGCUGUACAUCAGGUUGGACCAGGCCUACGGGGCUAACAGGCCGUCUAGUGGGGCGUUGAGGGUUGCUAGGCCUCCCCUCAGGUCUAGUGAUGCUGACAGAGAUUCUAGGUAUCAUUGACUCAGGCUGGUACAGGCUCUCUGGGCUGCUGGGCCGGGAAUCAGGCAGAAGCUUGUAGUUCUUCAGAACCUCAGUGAAGGAAAGCUCCUUGUUGCGCCUGCGUCUGUUGGUUUUGGCAGGUAGCUGGGAGCUGCUGCUGUUAAACCAACCGGGAGACUCACGACAUCCAUCCUGGACAGGAACCAGGGACUGGAGGUCUCUCCUCUUUCUGUGGGCAGCUGUGGGCCUCUUGGGCCU